This 612-nucleotide long non-coding RNA is filed under the name Trifolium pratense (red clover). RNAcentral describes it as "long non-coding RNA (TPRA_LNC008030)". Lineage: Eukaryota; Viridiplantae; Streptophyta; Magnoliopsida; Fabales; Fabaceae. The record is from RNAcentral.
ACAAUUCAACAUUCAACCAAAAUACAAUUACAUUCAACCAAGUCAUUAAAAUUCAACAUUCAACCAAAAUACAAUUACAUUCAACCAAGUCAUUACAAUUCAAAUAAAAUACCAAGUCUUACAAGUCAAGCAAAAUACCAACAAUCCAAAAUGUUAUAACAUUCAAGCAAAAUACAAGUCAUUACAAUUCAAAACAUCCUAAUUAAUGUGAAUCCAUUGUAACUAGCUAGCUCCUAAACCUCAUCAUCGGAAACAACAUAAUCUACCUCGGGAUUGUACAGGUCAAGAAAACAAGUAGCCCAGUUGCUUCGCAAUUCAUACAUCUCCUCCUCGGUUAAUGACGUGGGAUCAUCGAACACCUACAAUACAUAUACAUGAUCAAGAAUGAAGCAUAUGAGAAGUGAGAAGGCUAGGAUUAAAAUGAUGCCAUUAUAAUUCCAAAUACAAAACACAGCUAGGAAACUACAACAGCUAAUGCAGCUAGGAAACAGGGAAGGAAACACAGCUAACUACAACAGGAAACACAGCUAGGAAACUACAACAGCUAAGACAAUUGUGAGAAAUGUCAAGAAUUUCUAAUUGUGGAAGGAAGUCCUACACAGCUAGGAAACU